AGGGGGCAAGCGUUAUCCGGAUUUACUGGGAGUAACGGGAGCGUAGACGGAUGUGCAAGUCUGAAGUGAAAGCCUGGGGCUCAACCCCGGGACUGCUUUGGAAACUGUGUAUCUAGAGUGCCGGAGAGGUAAGCGGAAUUCCCAGUGUAGCUGUGAAAUGCGUAGAUAUUGGGAGGAACACCAGUGGCGAAGGCGGCUUACUGGACGGUAACUGACGUUGAGGCUCGAAAGCGUGGGGAGCAAG
This 244-nucleotide ribosomal RNA is filed under the name uncultured bacterium. RNAcentral's name for it is "partial 16S ribosomal RNA". It matches the Rfam family "Bacterial small subunit ribosomal RNA", at positions 529 to 772 of the family's 1533-position model. The record is from RNAcentral.